Molecule: transfer-messenger RNA, 349 nt
Filed under: Streptococcus equinus
Lineage: Bacteria; Bacillati; Bacillota; Bacilli; Lactobacillales; Streptococcaceae
Rfam family: transfer-messenger RNA
About the family: Bacterial tmRNA, also known as 10Sa RNA or SsrA, is named for its dual tRNA and mRNA-like properties.
Source: RNAcentral
GGGGUCGUUACGGAUUCGACAGGCAUUAUGAGGUACAUUCUGCGACUCAUCGGCAGAUGUAAAAAUGCCAGUUAAAUAUAACUGCAAAAAAUACAAAUUCUUACGCUGUAGCUGCCUAAAAACCAGCUCGCGUGAUCUCUACAGGAUUGCUUGUGUUUUGCUAGAGGUUUCAUUGAUUAACAAGCUACAUUUGACUAUUGCCUAGCUAGUCAAAAAGAGAUUUAUAGGCUCGCUUAAUCUAGGUUUGAGUUAUGUAUCGAGCUUGAGUUAAAAUAAAGACAUAACCUAUGGUUGUAGACGAAUGUAUUGGCAGGUGUUUGGACGUGGGUUCGACUCCCACCGGCUCCAU